This 286-nucleotide ribosomal RNA is filed under the name uncultured archaeon SYA_2000_12. Its description in RNAcentral is "partial 16S ribosomal RNA". It matches the Rfam family "Archaeal small subunit ribosomal RNA", at positions 521 to 805 of the family's 1478-position model. The record is from RNAcentral.
GUAGCCGGCCGGGAUAAGUCUCUUGGAAAAUCUGGCAGCUUAACUGUCAGGCUUUCAGGAGAUACUGUCUGGCUCGAGGCCGGGACAGGUGAGAGGUACUUCAGGGGUAGGGGUGAAAUCUUGUAAUCCUUGAAGGACCACCAGUGGCGAAGGCGUCUCACCAGAACGGACCUGACGGCAAGGGACGAAAGCUAGGGGCACGAACCGGAUUAGAUACCCGGGUAGUCCUAGCCGUAAACGAUACUCGCUAGGUGUCGGCAACGGUGCGACCGUUGUCGGUACCGUA